RNAcentral lists this ribosomal RNA (567 nucleotides) under Debaryomyces hansenii. RNAcentral describes it as "partial large subunit ribosomal RNA". It matches the Rfam family "Eukaryotic large subunit ribosomal RNA", at positions 52 to 634 of the family's 3401-position model. The record is from RNAcentral. Lineage: Eukaryota; Fungi; Ascomycota; Pichiomycetes; Serinales; Debaryomycetaceae.
GGAGGAAAAGAAACCAACAGGGAUUGCCUUAGUAACGGCGAGUGAAGCGGCAAAAGCUCAAAUUUGAAAUCUGGCACCUUCGGUGUCCGAGUUGUAAUUUGAAGAAGGUAACUUUGGAGUUGGCUCUUGUCUAUGUUCCUUGGAACAGGACGUCACAGAGGGUGAGAAUCCCGUGCGAUGAGAUGCCCAAUUCUAUGUAAAGUGCUUUCGAAGAGUCGAGUUGUUUGGGAAUGCAGCUCUAAGUGGGUGGUAAAUUCCAUCUAAAGCUAAAUAUUGGCGAGAGACCGAUAGCGAACAAGUACAGUGAUGGAAAGAUGAAAAGAACUUUGAAAAGAGAGUGAAAAAGUACGUGAAAUUGUUGAAAGGGAAGGGCUUGAGAUCAGACUUGGUAUUUUGCGAUCCUUUCCUUCUUGGUUGGGUUCCUCGCAGCUUACUGGGCCAGCAUCGGUUUGGAUGGUAGGAUAAUGACUAAGGAAUGUGGCUCUACUUCGGUGGAGUGUUAUAGCCUUGGUUGAUACUGCCUGUCUAGACCGAGGACUGCGUCUUUUGACUAGGAUGUUGGCAUAA